This 242-nucleotide unclassified non-coding RNA is filed under the name Hevea brasiliensis (rubber tree). The record is from RNAcentral. Lineage: Eukaryota; Viridiplantae; Streptophyta; Magnoliopsida; Malpighiales; Euphorbiaceae.
AUACUCAGCAGCUUUUCAAACAGAAAAGGAUUUCAAGAGAUCUUAUGUUCCAAGGAGAUUAGUGAUUGGCAAAGAUGAGUAUGUCCUUUCUUCAUAGUUAUUGGCUGCCUUGGUUUGCUUGGUGAUUGCAGUUAAUGCAGGAGAAUUUGUGAACUAGAGUUUUGCAGAGCUAUAUAUAUGUCAUUUUAAUUACUAAGAAACUUGAGUAAUGAAUUCUGCUAUUGGCAGAUAUGUUCGAAUUG